RNAcentral lists this ribosomal RNA (465 nucleotides) under uncultured bacterium. Its description in RNAcentral is "partial 16S ribosomal RNA". It matches the Rfam family "Bacterial small subunit ribosomal RNA", at positions 28 to 507 of the family's 1533-position model. The record is from RNAcentral.
GACGAACGCUGGCGGCGUGCUUAACACAUGCAAGUCGAACGGAAAGGCCCCUUUGGGGGUACUCGAGUGGCGAACGGGUGAGUAACACGUGAGUAACCUGCCCUUGACUUCGGGAUAACUUCAGGAAACUGGGGCUAAUACCGGAUAGGAAUCCUUGCUGCAUGGUGGGGGUUGGAAAGCUUCGGCGGUUUUGGAUGGACUCGCGGCUUAUCAGCUUGUUGGUGGGGUAGUGGCUUACCAAGGCUUUGACGGGUAGCCGGCCUGAGAGGGGGACCGGCCACAGUGGGACUGGGAUACGGCCCAGACGCCUACGGGGGGGAGCAGUGGGGAAUAUUGCACAAUGGGCGGAAGCCUGAUGCAGCAACGCCGCGUGCGGGAUGACGGCCUUCGGGUUGUAAACCGCUUUCAGCAGGGGCGAAGCUUGUGGUGACGGUACCUGCAGAAGAAGCACCGGCUAACUACGUG